ACUUUGUUCUGAUACACUCUCAGUAAAAUGAAACUGCGCAUGGUAGGUUUUCGAACUAUGAUUUAACCCAGCAAGAGAUAUUAAACAAUACUAGAAAUAGUAAUUUAAUUCUAGUUUUUAUGUUCUGACUAAUUAGGUGCCAGCAGUCGCGGUCAUACCUAUAAAACAGCUGAGAUUUUUAGAUAGAGGUAUGCCUUAAGAAAAAUUAAUUAACUAGUGAAAUAGUAAUUAUUUAUUCCACCUCUUUAAGGUUUAUUCCUGAAACUCCACUAUUAAACUAGGAUUAGAUACCCUACUAUAAGGAGCGAAAACUUAAAUAUCUAAGCACUAAGGCUUAAAAGUGAUUAAACUAAAAAGCUAAAACUUAAAGAACAUGGCGGCGGAAAUAAAAUUUAGGGGAACUUACCAGGUAAUUGACAACCCUCAAAAAAAAUCACCUUUAUUUAAAGUUUGUAUACCGCCGUCUUGGGCCCUCUUGAGGAGGGCCCAGAAUUAUGUAAUAAAUAAGACAGGUCAUGGUGCAGCCCAUAUAAAGGACUGUAAGGUGAGUUACAAUAGUGAUUUACUUCGGAAUAAAAAUGUAAGAAUGAAAGGAAGAUGGACUUAACAGUAAUUACUAAAGAAGUAUGUUUUGAAAUACAAAGAUUUUCGUGCACAAAUCGCCCGUCAUUCUCGUUGAAAAAUGAGACAAGUCGUAACACAGUAGGAGUACUGGAAAGUGCUCCU
This 726-nucleotide ribosomal RNA is filed under the name Aplysia kurodai (Kuroda's sea hare). Its description in RNAcentral is "12S ribosomal RNA". The record is from RNAcentral. Lineage: Eukaryota; Metazoa; Mollusca; Gastropoda; Aplysiida; Aplysiidae.